GCCGCCGUAGCUCAGUUGGUUAGAGCAUCUGCCUUGUAAGCAGAGGGUCGAGGGUUCGAAUCCCUCCGGCGGCU
This 74-nucleotide transfer RNA is filed under the name Candidatus Wukongarchaeum yapensis. RNAcentral's name for it is "tRNA-Thr". It matches the Rfam family "tRNA". From Rfam's summary of the family: Transfer RNA (tRNA) molecules are approximately 80 nucleotides in length. Lineage: Archaea; Promethearchaeati; Candidatus Wukongarchaeota; Candidatus Wukongarchaeia; Candidatus Wukongarchaeales; Candidatus Wukongarchaeaceae. The record is from RNAcentral. RNAcentral also lists the same sequence under 1 other name.